GACGAACCGUGCGAACGUUGUUCGGAAUCACUGGGCUUAAAGGGCGCGUAGGCGGGCUAUCAAGUCUGGGGUGAAAUCCCACGGCUCAACCGUGGAACUGCCUUAGAUACUGACGGCCUUGAGGAAGGUAGGGGCAUGCGGAACUGUAGGUGGAGCGGUGAAAUGCGUUGAUAUCUACAGGAACUCCGGUGGCGAAAGCGGCGUGCUGGACCUUUUCUGACGCUGAGGAGCGAAAGCGUGGGUAGCAAACGGG
Molecule: ribosomal RNA, 253 nt
Filed under: uncultured prokaryote
Description: partial 16S ribosomal RNA
Rfam family: Bacterial small subunit ribosomal RNA
Source: RNAcentral